RNAcentral lists this ribosomal RNA (468 nucleotides) under uncultured bacterium. Its description in RNAcentral is "partial 16S ribosomal RNA". It matches the Rfam family "Bacterial small subunit ribosomal RNA", at positions 28 to 507 of the family's 1533-position model. The record is from RNAcentral.
GACGAACGCUGGCGGCGUGCUUAACACAUGCAAGUCGAACGGAGCGCCUCUUCCUUUGUGGUGUGCUCGCGUGGCGCACGGGUGUGUCACACGUGCAUAACCUGCUCUUCACUUUGGGAUCACCUCAGGACACUGGGGCUUAUCCCGGAUAGGCGCUCCUGCUGCAUGGUGGGGGUGGGAGAGUUUCGGCGGUUGGGGAUGGGCUCGCGGCUUAUCAGCUUGUUGGUGGGGUAGUGGCUUACCAAGGCUUUGACGGGUAGCCGGCCUGAGAGGGUGACCGGCCACAUUGGGACUGAGAUACGGCCCAGACUCCUACGGGAGGCAGCAGUGGGGAAUAUUGCGCAAUGGGCGGAAGCCUGAUGCAGCGACGCCGCGUGCGGGAUGACGGCCUUCGGGUUGUAAACCGCUUUCAGCUGUGACGAAGCGAGAGUGACGGUAAUUGGUAAAGAAGCACCGGCUAACUACGUG